This 555-nucleotide ribosomal RNA is filed under the name uncultured bacterium. RNAcentral describes it as "partial 16S ribosomal RNA". It matches the Rfam family "Bacterial small subunit ribosomal RNA", at positions 355 to 900 of the family's 1533-position model. The record is from RNAcentral.
UAGGGAAUCUUCCACAAUGGACGCAAGUCUGAUGGAGCAACGCCGCGUGAGUGAAGAGGGUUUUCGGACCGUAAAGCUCUGUUGUUGGUGAAGAAGGAUAGAGGUAGUAACUGGCCUUUAUUUGACGGUAAUCAACCAGAAAGUCACGGCUAACUACGUGCCAGCAGCCGCGGUAAUACGUAGGUGGCAAGCGUUGUCCGGAUUUAUUGGGCGUAAAGCGAGCGCAGGCGGAAGAAUAAGUCUGAUGUGAAAGCCCUCGGCUUAACCGAGGAAUUGCAUCGGAAACUGUUUUUCUUGAGUGCAGAAGAGGAGAGUAGAACUCCAUGUGUAGCGGUGGAAUGCGUAGAUAUAUGGAAGAAUACCAGUGGCGAAGGCGGCUCUCUGGUCUGCAACUGACGCUGAGGCUCGAAAGCAUGGGUAGCGAACAGGAUUAGAUACCCUGGUAGUCCAUGCCGUAAACGAUGAGUGCUAAGUGUUGGGAGGCUUCCGCCUCUCAGUGCUGCAGCUAACGCAUUAAGCACUCCGCCUGGGGGAGUACGACCGCAAGGUUGAAAC